This 103-nucleotide microRNA precursor is filed under the name Marmota monax (woodchuck). The record is from RNAcentral. Lineage: Eukaryota; Metazoa; Chordata; Mammalia; Rodentia; Sciuridae.
ACUGGAAUUGUUGGGUCAUAUGGUAUCAUUAUCCUUAACUCUUUGAAGAAGUUCCAAACUGUUUUCCAAAGCAACUAUACCAUAUUAUAUUCCUACCAGCAAU